Molecule: transfer RNA, 121 nt
Filed under: Nitrososphaeria archaeon
Lineage: Archaea; Thermoproteati; Nitrososphaerota; Nitrososphaeria
Description: tRNA-OTHER
Rfam family: tRNA
About the family: Transfer RNA (tRNA) molecules are approximately 80 nucleotides in length.
Source: RNAcentral
AGCCCGGUCGUCUAGCGGCCAAGCCAUCUGGUCAGAAGAGGGGCUAGGGAUCCCGGGCUUUGGAUCAUUGGCCGCGUAGAGAAGAAACCCGGGGACGCCGGUUCGAAUCCGGCCCGGGCUA